ACGCUGGCGGCAUGCCUAACACAUGCAAGUCGAACGGACAUAUACCUUCGGGUAUAUGUUAGUGGCGGACGGGCGAGUAACGCGUGAGUAACCUGCCCUUCAGUGGGGAACAACGACUGGAAACGGUCGCUAAUACCGCAUAACGUGUCACCACGGCAUCGUGGAGAUACCAAAGGAGCAAUUCGCUGAAGGAUGGACUCGCGUCCGAUUAGCUAGUUGGUGAGGUAACGGCCCACCAAGGCGACGAUCGGUAGCCGAACUGAGAGGUUGAUCGGCCGCAUUGGGACUGAGACACGGCCCAGACUCCUACGGGAGGCAGCAGUGGGGGAUAUUGCACAAUGGGGGAAACCCUGAUGCCAGCAAUGCCGCGUGAGGGAAGAAGGUCUUCGGAUUGUAAACCUAAGUAGUCAGGGACGAAAGAAAUGACGGUACCUGAAGAGUAAGCUCCGGCUAACUACGUGCCAGCAGCGGC
RNAcentral lists this ribosomal RNA (472 nucleotides) under uncultured bacterium. RNAcentral describes it as "bacterial SSU rRNA". It matches the Rfam family "Bacterial small subunit ribosomal RNA", at positions 33 to 518 of the family's 1533-position model. The record is from RNAcentral.